UAAGAAUUUAAAAGUCGAACAGACUUAUUAAUAAGAAUGCUGCUUCCUAUAAUAUUCUUAAUUCAACAUCGAGGUCGCAAAAUAUAAUAUAGAUGUGAACUCCCCAUUAAAAUUACGCUGUUAUCCCUAAGGUAACUUAAUCUUUUUAUCCCUUUCUAUUUAGGGAUCUUAAGUUUCAUUAAUAAAUGAUAUAAAAAACUAAAGUUUAUAUUUAAUUACCACCCCAGCAAAAAAUAAAUUUUAUACAAUUAAUAAUCCUAAUUAAAUUAAAUAAUAUAAAUUUAUAUAAAGUUCUAUAGGGUCUUAUCGUCCCAAUAACCAACUAAAGCAUUUUAACUUUAAAUUUAAAUUCUAAUUUUUAAAGAAAUAAAAUAUAUUUCUCAUACAUCCAUUCAUACAAGCUCCCAAUUAAGAAACUAAUUACUAUGCUACCUUUGCACAGUCAAAAUACUGCAGCCAUUUAGUUAAUAACCAUAGGGCAGAAGAUACUUUUUAUUUAACCA
This 503-nucleotide ribosomal RNA is filed under the name Nesophrosyne nuenue. RNAcentral's name for it is "partial 16S ribosomal RNA". RNAcentral also lists the same sequence under 2 other names. Lineage: Eukaryota; Metazoa; Arthropoda; Insecta; Hemiptera; Cicadellidae. The record is from RNAcentral.